RNAcentral lists this ribosomal RNA (770 nucleotides) under uncultured Neocallimastigales. Its description in RNAcentral is "partial large subunit ribosomal RNA". It matches the Rfam family "Eukaryotic large subunit ribosomal RNA", at positions 22 to 645 of the family's 3401-position model. Lineage: Eukaryota; Fungi; Neocallimastigomycota; Neocallimastigomycetes; Neocallimastigales. The record is from RNAcentral.
UACACGCUGUGACUAGCAUAUCAAUAAGCGGAGGAAAAGAAACUAACAAGGAUUCCCUCAGUAACGGCGAGUGAAGCGGGAAGAGCUCAAAUUUGAAAUCUUGAAAGGUCACCUUUCACGAAUUGUAGUUUAAAGAAGUGUUUUCUGUUACGAUCGUAAUAUAAGUUCUUUGGAAUAGGACAUCACAGAGGGUGAGAAUCCCGUCUAUGAUUGCGAUUUGUAGCUUUGUGAUACACUUUCAAAGAGUCGGGUUGUUUGGGAAUGCAGCCCAAAACGGGAGGUAGAUUUCUUCUAAGGCUAAAUAUUGGCGAGAGACCGAUAGCGAACAAGUACCGUGAGGGAAAGAUGAAAAGAACUUUGAAAAGAGAGUUAAAUAGUACGUGAAAUUGUCAAAAGGGAAGCGUUUAACACCAGUGUUGUUUUCUGAAAAUCAACCUCUGUUAGCUUUAUGCAUGUUUGUUUAGACCUAAUCAGCUAUCUUGCAUGUUCUAUUGUUUGCAGUGGUGCACUUUUCAGUUUACAGGUCAACAUCAGUUUUUUUCACCGUAAAAAAGUUAAAGAAAGGUAGCUCAUAGCUCCGGUCGUGAGUGCUAUAGUCUUUUUCCUAUGCGGUAGGAGAGACUGAGGUCUGCAGUGUAGGCUAUUUGGCUAGAUACUCAGGUGCUAUGUGAUACCAUUUCAUAAACAACUUGUUGAUUAUGUUUUGUCUAUUGCAUACUCGCUUGUACUAUCAUACCUACGCUUAGGAUGUUGACGCAUGAGAUAUACGC